AGCCGAUAAUAUUUCCACACCCACUCGCGCGUUAUAUUCCACUCGGGGCCAUUGUGCGACGCACAAAAAAAAAAACAACUGUGCAGCAGAACGACUUCGGUGCGGAGCUGUAGGACACAAUACCCGAUGUUUUUAACACCCUGUUCAAAUACACGAUGUUGUCAAUCCACGUCCCCCCUCCUUUCAUCACUAUACCUUUUAUGUGCCGGGUUGACAAUUACCCGUCAGCUGCCACGGAAGCGCCCCUUUUUAUUGUGUACC
Cinara cedri is the source of this 261-nucleotide non-coding RNA. The record is from the annotation of a GenBank genome assembly. Lineage: Eukaryota; Metazoa; Arthropoda; Insecta; Hemiptera; Aphididae.